AACUGAUACUACCUGCGGGAACCUGCGGAAGGAUCAUUACAGGACUCGCAAGACUCCUACAACCCUGUGAACCUACUAUACGAACGUUGCUUCGGCGGGUGCGCCCCGGGGAUUCGUUCCCGCGGCGCGUCAGCCCGCCGGCAGCCUACAAAUUCUGUUUCUUUGCGUUGGCAUCUCGAGAAAAACAAAUAAGUUAAAACUUUUAGCAACGGAUCUCU
This 218-nucleotide unclassified non-coding RNA is filed under the name soil metagenome. RNAcentral's name for it is "partial contains 5.8S ribosomal RNA, internal transcribed spacer 2, and large subunit ribosomal RNA". The record is from RNAcentral.